Molecule: ribosomal RNA, 211 nt
Filed under: Klebsiella pneumoniae
Lineage: Bacteria; Pseudomonadati; Pseudomonadota; Gammaproteobacteria; Enterobacterales; Enterobacteriaceae
Description: partial 23S ribosomal RNA
Rfam family: Bacterial large subunit ribosomal RNA
Source: RNAcentral
AUAGCUCACUGGUCGAGUCGGCCUGCGCGGAAGAUGUAACGGGGCUAAACCAUGCACCGAAGCUGCGGCAGCGACACGAUGUGUUGUUGGGUAGGGGAGCGUUCUGUAAGCCUGCGAAGGUGUGCUGUGAGGCAUGCUGGAGGUAUCAGAAGUGCGAAUGCUGACAUAAGUAACGAUAAAGCGGGUGAAAAGCCCGCUCGCCGGAAGACCA